This 481-nucleotide ribosomal RNA is filed under the name uncultured bacterium. Its description in RNAcentral is "partial 16S ribosomal RNA". It matches the Rfam family "Bacterial small subunit ribosomal RNA", at positions 28 to 523 of the family's 1533-position model. The record is from RNAcentral.
GACGAACGCUGGCGGCGUGCUUAACACAUGCAAGUCGAGCGGAAAGGCUCCUUCGGGGGUACUCGAGCGGCGAACGGGUGAGUAACACGUGAGUAAUCUGCCCUUGGCUUCGGGAUAGCCACCGGAAACGGUGAUUAAUACCGGAUACGACAACUUCUCGCAUGGGAUGGUUGUGGAAAGUUUUUUCGGCCAGGGAUGUGCUCGCGGCCUAUCAGCUUGAUGGUGAGGUAAUGGCUCACCAUGGCUUCGACGGGUAGCCGGCCUGGGAGGGUGAGCGGUAACACUGGGACUGAGACACGGCCGAGACUCCUACGGGAGGCAGCAGUGGGAAAUAUUGGACAAUGGGCGGAAGCCUGAUCCAGCAACGCCGCGUGAGGGAUGACGGCCUUCGGGUUGUAAACCUCUUUCGGUAGGGACGAAGCGCAAGUGACGGUACCUACUAAAGAAGCACCGGCCAACUACGUGCCAGCAGCCGCCGCAG